This 442-nucleotide ribosomal RNA is filed under the name uncultured bacterium. Its description in RNAcentral is "partial 16S ribosomal RNA". It matches the Rfam family "Bacterial small subunit ribosomal RNA", at positions 338 to 795 of the family's 1533-position model. The record is from RNAcentral.
CCUACGGGUGGCUGCAGUGGGGAAUAUUGGGCAAUGGACGCAAGUCUGACCCAGCAACGCCGCGUGAAGGAAGAAGGCUUUCGGGUUGUAAACUUCUUUUAAGGGGGAAGAGCAGAAGACGGUACCCCUUGAAUAAGCCAUGGCUAACUACGUGCCAGCAGCCGCGGUAAUACGUUGGUGGCAAGCGUUGUUCGGAAUUACUGGGUGGAAAGGGCGUGGAGGCGGGGUGACAAGUCAGAUGUGAAAUUCACGGGCUCAACCCGUGAGCUGCAUUUGAAACUGUUUGCCUUGAGUGUCGGAGAGGUAAACGGAAUGCCUUGUGUAGCGGUGAAAUGCGUAGAUAUAAGGAAGAACACCAGUGGCGAAGGCGGAUUACUGGACGGUAACUGACGGUGAGGCACGAAAGCGUGGGGAGCAAACAGGAUUAGAUACCCGAGUAGUC